AAAGUUUUAAGUUAAAUAAACUAAUAAUCUUCAAAAUUAUAAAUAAAAUAAUUAAUUUUAAGCUUUA
Molecule: transfer RNA, 67 nt
Filed under: Goera fissa
Lineage: Eukaryota; Metazoa; Arthropoda; Insecta; Trichoptera; Goeridae
Description: tRNA-Trp
Source: RNAcentral